RNAcentral lists this small RNA (858 nucleotides) under Mytilus galloprovincialis (Mediterranean mussel). Lineage: Eukaryota; Metazoa; Mollusca; Bivalvia; Mytilida; Mytilidae. The record is from RNAcentral.
AUGCUUCUACACAAGGAUGCGUCAUACAAAACAUACAGAGCCUUCUUUUCAAACAUUUCUGCCACACUUGAACUACCCAUUAAUGAUGUUGAAACUUCGUCUCCACGAAAAUAUAGAGUUUGCAGUGAUGACGAAAAAGCUAUGACCAAGGCGAUAGAAAAUGCAUUUCCAACUGCCAAACGAAGAUUGUGCACAAAACAUUUAAAGGACAAUGUACCACAUUACCUUCAAGAUCGUGUUGGUGUUAGCACCCAAGAAAGAAAAACCAUCAUCAACACAAUUUUUGGAGAUCAAGGAAUUGCAAGCGCAGACGACACAUUGCAAUUUGCAAGGGCAGAUUCGGAGCUUAAGGACUUGUGUGCAAAUCAUCCUCAGUUCCUGAAAUAUUACGAACAAAGUUUUAAGCCACGAGUUGAAGAAUUCGUUAAUGCACCCAAUAGACGUUUAGGCACUAAGCAAAUGUGGACGAACAACAAUGCAGAAUCCAUGAACCGGGUGAUGAAAGUGGCAGUCAACUGGAAGCCCCAACAUGCACCAGAUUUGGUUGAUAAACUAUUUGACAUGGUGGACUUCCAGUUCAUUAAUCUACGGUCAGCCCUUCAUCAUUCUGGGGACUACAUGCUGGUCAACUCAUACAAACAGUACACUAUAGCAGAUGCCAUCUGGAAAACAAAAUCAGACGAGGAAAAACGAAAGCUCUUUAAUAAUUUCCUGCAGGACAGUAAAAAAAGAAAACACGAAAAUAUCAUAACUUCAUCCGAUGGACUAUACUCUGUUGUGAACAAGGCUAAGUCAAUAGCCAAGAAACCUAUGCAGAGAAAGAGACCAAGAACAGAAAGAGCCGAAAAAAGACAUUAA